RNAcentral lists this transfer RNA (87 nucleotides) under Gammaproteobacteria bacterium. RNAcentral's name for it is "tRNA-Leu". It matches the Rfam family "tRNA". From Rfam's summary of the family: Transfer RNA (tRNA) molecules are approximately 80 nucleotides in length. Their secondary structure includes four short double-helical elements and three loops (D, anti-codon, and T loops). The record is from RNAcentral. Lineage: Bacteria; Pseudomonadati; Pseudomonadota; Gammaproteobacteria.
GCCCGGGUGGCGGAAUUGGUAGACGCUGCGGACUUAAAAUCCGCUGGCCGAAAGGCCGUGCCGGUUCGAGUCCGGCCCCGGGCACCA